RNAcentral lists this long non-coding RNA (976 nucleotides) under Pan troglodytes (chimpanzee). RNAcentral describes it as "long non-coding RNA NONPTRT014604". The record is from RNAcentral. Lineage: Eukaryota; Metazoa; Chordata; Mammalia; Primates; Hominidae.
AGAAGGACGGUCCCUGCCAUUACGAGAGGGCCCUGCAGUGCAGUGUUUCAGGAUGGGGCCACACAGCGCAUUGGAAAGCACAAAGGAGAGGAGCAAAUCCCAGCCUAGAGGGGGCAACAGGCAGAGGGAGCUUCCAGGAGGUAGAGAUGUCUAAACUAAGACCUCAAGGGUGGACAGGAGCAAGCCAAGUGAAAGGAUCUGGGAGGGCAGCGGAUGACAUUAGGAGCUGGGAGGAACUAGCUGGGGUGUUGCCUGAAGAAGUUGGGGGCAGGCAGGCCAGUGUACACAGGGCUCUGUGGGCCCAGCAAAGAGGAGUGACCAGAGGCAGGAUCUGGUGUGGGCUGGAGAAAGGCCUUGGCCUGCAGGUGGCACAGGCCAGGCUGGAGGCAGAGGGCUGUUUAGGAGACCAUCUCGGUUAUAAAGCAGGGAUGACAGAAGCUGGGCUCGGGAAACUGAUGGAGACAGAGACUUGGAAGACACAAGGCUUAAAGACUGAUGAAGGGGUAGAGGUGGCUAGUGAGAGAGAGAGAGACAGACAGACAUAGGGAGAGAGAUGGACAGAGACAGAGAAAAUGCGAGCCUGGGGAAACCAGGUGCACAGUGGUAGCUUGUGCAGAGGGAGAGGAUGGAAGAAGGGGGCAAAUUAUAGGCAGAAGAGGCCAUGUCCAUUUGCAAAGGUUGCGUGCAAGACCCUGGAGGCCCCUGAGGAAGAGAGAUGGAAGAUGUGGGUAUCUGGCCCAAAAGCAUGGAAGGAUCCCUGAAGAUCCAGCCACCGCCUAGUUAUGCUGUUUGUACAGGGGCCAUUGCAAGGGAGGAAACCAUCCUGCCACCGGGAACCAGGAAGACGGGUGAAAGGAGCUUUGGUAUGAACCAUGCCCGGUAACAGGGACUGUGCAGAGGAAGAAUCCCAGCUAGCCUAUGGAUGAAGAGCUCAGUGAAAGGAGGUAAGCCCAGUGCGGGCAGGGCUUCCCAGGGC